This 433-nucleotide ribosomal RNA is filed under the name uncultured bacterium. RNAcentral describes it as "partial 16S ribosomal RNA". It matches the Rfam family "Bacterial small subunit ribosomal RNA", at positions 29 to 507 of the family's 1533-position model. The record is from RNAcentral.
AACGAACGCUGGCGGCAUGCCUAACACAUGCAAGUCGAACGAGACCUUCGGGUCUAGUGGCGCACGGGUGCGUAACGCGUGGGAACCUGCCCUUAGGUUCGGAAUAACUCCCCGAAAGGGGUGCUAAUACCGGAUAAUGUCUUCGGACCAAAGAUUUAUCGCCUUUGGAUGGGCCCGCGUUGGAUUAGCUAGUUGGUAGGGUAAAAGCCUAUCAAGGCGACGAUCCAUAGCUGGUCUGAGAGGAUGAUCAGCCACACUGGGACUGAGACACGGCCCAGACUCCUACGGGAGGCAGCAGUGGGGAAUAUUGGACAAGGGGCGAAAGCCUGAUCCAGCAAUGCCGCGUGAGUGAUGAAGGCCUUAGGGUUGUAAAGCUCUUUUACCCGGGAUGAUAAUGACAGUACCGGGAGAAUAAGCUCCGGCUAACUCCGUG